Molecule: ribosomal RNA, 33 nt
Filed under: Haematococcus lacustris
Lineage: Eukaryota; Viridiplantae; Chlorophyta; Chlorophyceae; Chlamydomonadales; Haematococcaceae
Description: partial small subunit ribosomal RNA
Source: RNAcentral
GUUUCCGUAGGUGAACCUGCGGAGGGAUCAUUG